Molecule: ribosomal RNA, 468 nt
Filed under: uncultured bacterium
Lineage: Bacteria
Description: partial 16S ribosomal RNA
Rfam family: Bacterial small subunit ribosomal RNA
Source: RNAcentral
GACGAACGCUGGCGGCGUGCUUAACACAUGCAAGUCGAACGGAAAGGCCCUGCUUUUGUGGGGUGCUCGAGUGGCGAACGGGUGAGUAACACGGGAGUAACCUGCCCUUGACUUGGGGAUAACUUCAGGAAACUGGGGCUAAAACCGGAUGGGAGUUCCUGCUGCAUGGUGGAGGUUGGAAAGUUUCGGCGGUUGGGGAUGGACUCGCGGCUUAUCAGCUUGUUGGUGGGGUAGUGGCUUACCAAGGCUUUGACGGGUAGCCGGCCUGAGAGGGUGACCGGCCACAUUGGGACUGAGAUACGGCCCAGACUCCUACGGGAGGCAGCAGUGGGGAAUAUUGCACAAUGGGCGGAAGCCUGAUGCAGCAACGCCGCGUGCGGGAUGACGGCCUUCGGGUUGUAAACCGCUUUCGCCUGUGACGAAGCGUGAGUGACGGUAAUGGGUAAAGAAGCACCGGCUAACUACGUG